GUAGGUGGCAAGCGUUGUCCGGGAAUUAUUGGGGCGUAAAGCGCGCGCAGGCGGUCCUUUAAGUCUGAUGUGAAAGCCCACGGGCUCAACCGUGGGAGGGUCAUUGGAAACUGGGGGACUUGAGUGCAGAAGAGGAGAGUGGAAUUCCACGUGUAGCGGUGAAAUGCGUAGAGAUGUGGAGGAACACCAGUGGCGAAGGCGACUCUCUGGUCUGUAACUGACGCUGAGGCGCGAAAGCGUGGGGAGCGAACAGGAUUAGAUACCCUGGUAGUCCACGCCGUAAACGAUGAGUGCUAAGUGUUAGAGGGUUUCCGCCCUUUAGUGCUGCAGCUAACGCAUUAAGCACUCCGCCUGGGGAGUACGGUCGCAAGACUG
This 375-nucleotide ribosomal RNA is filed under the name uncultured organism. RNAcentral's name for it is "partial 16S ribosomal RNA". It matches the Rfam family "Bacterial small subunit ribosomal RNA", at positions 527 to 896 of the family's 1533-position model. The record is from RNAcentral.